This 415-nucleotide ribosomal RNA is filed under the name Heterocephalacria solida. RNAcentral describes it as "partial large subunit ribosomal RNA". The record is from RNAcentral. Lineage: Eukaryota; Fungi; Basidiomycota; Tremellomycetes; Filobasidiales; Filobasidiaceae.
GACCUCAAAUCAGGUAGGACUACCCGCUGAACUUAAGCAUAUCAAUAAGCGGAGGAAAAGAAACUAACCAGGAUUCCCCUAGUAACGGCGAGUGAACCGGGAAGAGCUCAAAUUURAAAUCUGGCGUUCUUCGGACGUCCGAGUUGUAAUCUAUAGAAGUGUUUUCCGUGGUGGACCGUGUCCAAGUUCCUUGGAAAAGGAUAUCAGAGAGGGUGAUAAUCCCGUCCUUGACACGACAACCAUUGCUCUGUGAUACACUUUCUACGAGUCGAGUUGUUUGGGAAUGCAGCUCAAAAUGGGUGGUAAAUUCCAUCUAAAGCUAAAUAUUGGCGAGAGACCGAUAGCGAACAAGUACCGUGAGGGAAAGAUGAAAAGCACUUUGGAAAGAGAGUUAAACAGUAUGUGAAAUUGUUGA